RNAcentral lists this ribosomal RNA (387 nucleotides) under uncultured bacterium. RNAcentral describes it as "partial 16S ribosomal RNA". It matches the Rfam family "Bacterial small subunit ribosomal RNA", at positions 524 to 918 of the family's 1533-position model. The record is from RNAcentral.
UACAUAGGGGGCAAGCGUUAUCCGGAAUUAUUGGGCGUAAAGGGUGCGUAGGCGGUCUAUUAAGUCUGAGGUGUAAGUGCAGGGCUCAACCCUGUGAUGCUUUAGAAACUGGUAGACUUGAGUGAGAUAGAGGCAAGUGGAAUUCCAUGUGUAGCGGUAAAAUGCGUAAAUAUAUGGAGGAACACCAGUGGCGAAGGCGGCUUGCUGGGUCUAUACGGACGCUGAGGCACGAAAGCGUGGGGAGCAAAGAGGAUGAGAUCACCGGGAAGUCCACGCCGUAAAUGAUGAGUACUAAGUGUUGCGAGAACGCAGUGCUGAAGUUAACCUAUUAAGUACUCCGCCUGAGUAGUACGUACGCAAGUAUGAAACUCAAAGGAAUUGACGGGG